CAACAAACGUGAAACUCUAUUAGGAGCUGUGCCUUGUCAAAAUAAAUCUAAACCUAUAUGACUGGACCAUGUGGUAAUUUAAUUUAAAAGUCAGGUUAAUCUCCAGGGCUGGUACCUGCGGUUAUUCCACAGGCUAGUUAAUAACAUGUCGGGCAGGAAAUCCAAAGUGUGGGAUCAUUUUGAGAAGGUGAAGGACGAACCCAAGGUGAUAUGUAAACUCAUCUUCACUGGUCGACUACAAACAUGACGUAUCAUCUGAAACAUGGAAGUAGCUACAUGCCCAUUAGCCCACAGUGUCAUUAACAGGCGGCUCGCUCAGUGUGUGAUGUGCACUUGGAGAUAAAAUAUAGGCCUAUAUUAAUGAAGGUUCAUUAGUACGGUUUUGUAUUUCUCUGUAAUGUAGCACAGUGUUAACAAUGUUACUGAUACUAUUCUUUCUCACACCUUCA
Long non-coding RNA from Epinephelus fuscoguttatus (brown-marbled grouper), 449 nucleotides. RefSeq lists it as uncharacterized. The record is from RefSeq and is a predicted model, not a curated record. The transcript has 3 exons. Lineage: Eukaryota; Metazoa; Chordata; Actinopteri; Perciformes; Serranidae.